UGGCGGCAGGCCUAACACAUGCAAGUCGAACGGUAACAGGAAGCAGCUUGCUGCUUUGCUGACGAGUGGCGGACGGGUGAGUAAUGUCUGGGAAACUGCCUGAUGGAGGGGGAUAACUACUGGAAACGGUAGCUAAUACCGCAUAAUGUCGCAAGACCAAAGAGGGGGACCUUCGGGCCUCUUGCCAUCGGAUGUGCCCAGAUGGGAUUAGCUUGUAGGUGGGGUAACGGCUCACCUAGGCGACGAUCCCUAGCUGGUCUGAGAGGAUGACCAGCCACACUGGAACUGAGACACGGUCCAGACUCCUACGGGAGGCAGCAGUGGGGAAUAUUGCACAAUGGGCGCAAGCCUGAUGCAGCCAUGCCGCGUGUAUGAAGAAGGCCUUCGGGUUGUAAAGUACUUUCAGCGGGGAGGAAGGGAGUAAAGUUAAUACCUUUGCUCAUUGACGUUACCCGCAGAAGAAGCACCGGCUAACUCCGUGCCAGCAGCCGCGGUAAUACGGAGGGUGCAAGCGUUAAUCGGAAUUACUGGGCGUAAAGCGCACGCAGGCGGUUUGUUAAGUCAGAUGUGAAAUCCCCGGGCUCAACCUGGGAACUGCAUCUGAUACUGGCAAGCUUGAGUCUCGUAGAGGGGGGUAGAAUUCCAGGUGUAGCGGUGAAAUGCGUAGAGAUCUGGAGGAAUACCGGUGGCGAAGGCGGCCCCCUGGACGAAGACUGACGCUCAGGUGCGAAAGCGUGGGGAGCAAACAGGAUUAGAUACCCUGGUAGUCCACGCCGUAAACGAUGUCGACUUGGAGGUUGUGCCCUUGAGGCGUGGCUUCCGGAGCUAACGCGUUAAGUCGACCGCCUGGGGAGUACGGCCGCAAGGUUAAAACUCAAAUGAAUUGACGGGGGCCCGCACAAGCGGUGGAGCAUGUGGUUUAAUUCGAUGCAACGCGAAGAACCUUACCUGGUCUUGACAUCCACGGAAGUUUUCAGAGAUGAGAAUGUGCCUUCGGGAACCGUGAGACAGGUGCUGCAUGGCUGUCGUCAGCUCGUGUUGUGAAAUGUUGGGUUAA
This 1057-nucleotide ribosomal RNA is filed under the name Escherichia fergusonii. RNAcentral describes it as "bacterial SSU rRNA". It matches the Rfam family "Bacterial small subunit ribosomal RNA", at positions 37 to 1083 of the family's 1533-position model. The record is from RNAcentral. Lineage: Bacteria; Pseudomonadati; Pseudomonadota; Gammaproteobacteria; Enterobacterales; Enterobacteriaceae.